AUUGAACGCUGGCGGCAUGCUUUACACAUGCAAGUCGAACGGCAGCACGGGGGCUUGCUCCUGGUGGCGAGUGGCGAACGGGUGAGUAAUGCAUCGGAACGUACCCAGUAGUGGGGGAUAGCCCGGCGAAAGCCGGAUUAAUACCGCAUAUUUCCUGAGGGAGAAAGCGGGGGACCUUCGGGCCUCGCGCUACUGGAGCGGCUGAUGUCGGAUUAGCUAGUUGGUGAGGUAAAGGCUCACCAAGGCGACGAUCCGUAGCUGGUCUGAGAGGAUGAUCAGCCACACUGGGACUGAGACACGGCCCAGACUCCUACGGGAGGCAGCAGUGGGGAAUUUUGGACAAUGGGGGCAACCCUGAUCCAGCCAUGCCGCGUGAGUGAAGAAGG
This 386-nucleotide ribosomal RNA is filed under the name uncultured bacterium. RNAcentral describes it as "bacterial SSU rRNA". It matches the Rfam family "Bacterial small subunit ribosomal RNA", at positions 29 to 414 of the family's 1533-position model. The record is from RNAcentral.